Molecule: ribosomal RNA, 448 nt
Filed under: uncultured bacterium
Lineage: Bacteria
Description: bacterial SSU rRNA
Rfam family: Bacterial small subunit ribosomal RNA
Source: RNAcentral
UCGGGAAUUUUGGGCAAUGGGCGAAAGUCUGACGCAGCGACACCGCGUGUGGGAAGAAGCAUCUAGGUGUGUAAACCACUGUGGCAGGGGACGAAUUUUGACGGUACCCUGCUAGAAAGCACCUGCUAACUACGUGCCAGAAGCCUCGGUAAUACGUAGGGUGCAAGCGUUAUCCGGAUUUACUGGGCGUAAAGCGUCUGUAGGUGGAUUAGUAAGUGUUGGGUUAAAUACUGGGGCUCAACCCCAGACCUGCUCAGCAUACUGCUAGUCUCGAGUGUAUUCGGGGAGGUUGGAAUUCUCGGUGGAGGGGUGAAAUCCGUUGAUAUCGAGAGGAACGCCAAGGGUGAAGACAGACCUCUAGGGUACUACUGACACUGAGAGACGAAAGCUAGGGUAGCAAACCGGAUUAGAUACCCAAGUAGUCCCUGAGCGGGCUGGCAAGGCGCAU